This 340-nucleotide long non-coding RNA is filed under the name Brachypodium distachyon (stiff brome). Its description in RNAcentral is "long non-coding RNA (BDIS_LNC004544)". The record is from RNAcentral. Lineage: Eukaryota; Viridiplantae; Streptophyta; Magnoliopsida; Poales; Poaceae.
AUGCAUAACUAAGCUAUCCCAUAAUUUUUGGAUAAUUAUUUGGGGUUGAAAAACUAUUUUAUUUAAAUAGUCAUAUAGCCCUAAAGGCAUUUAUAGGGCAAAUGUAUUUUUAGAUAUUUUAUUUUGAGGGGAAAUUACUCCCAAAAGUUGAAUCAGGAUAAAACAUGAAUUUACAAAUUUUCUGCAAUUUAUUUGGACCAAUUUGGAGUUCAAAAUCAAAAGAUAUCAAAGAAAUGAGAAAAGGAAAAAAAAGGCUAAAAAAAAGGAAGAAACCGGACCGGCCCGGCCAAAUGGACCGAACCGGCCCAGCUCGACCGAGCCGCCCGAGCCAGACCGGCCC